CACCCAGACUCCUACGGGAGGCAGCAGUGGGGAAUAUUGCACAAUGGGGGAAACCCUGAUGCAGCAACGCCGCGUGAGUGAAGAAGUAUUUCGGUAUGUAAAGCUCUAUCAGCAGGGAAGAAGAAAGACGGUACCUGACUAAGAAGCCCCGGCUAACUACGUGCCAGCAGCCGCGGUAAUACGUAGGGGGCAAGCGUUAUCCGGAUUUACUGGGUGUAAAGGGAGCGUAGACGGCUGUGCAAGUCUGAAGUGAAAGCCCGUGGCUCAACCGCGGGACUGCAUUUGGAACUGCGUGGCUUGAGUGUCGGAGAGGCAGGCGGAAUUCCUAGUGUAGCGGUGAAAUGCGUAGAUAUUAGGAGGAACACCAGUGGCGAAGGCGGCCUGCUGGACCGUGACUGACGUUGAGGCUCGAGAGCGUGGGGAGCAAACAGGAUUAGAUACCCGGGUAAG
RNAcentral lists this ribosomal RNA (450 nucleotides) under uncultured bacterium. RNAcentral describes it as "bacterial SSU rRNA". It matches the Rfam family "Bacterial small subunit ribosomal RNA", at positions 328 to 793 of the family's 1533-position model. The record is from RNAcentral.